This 329-nucleotide ribosomal RNA is filed under the name uncultured eukaryote. RNAcentral's name for it is "partial 18S ribosomal RNA". It matches the Rfam family "Eukaryotic small subunit ribosomal RNA", at positions 1470 to 1796 of the family's 1831-position model. The record is from RNAcentral.
CCCUUAGAUGUUCUGGGCUGCACGCGCGCUACACUGAUACCUUCAGCGAGUCCACCACCUUGCCUGGGAGGGUGGGGUAACCUCUGGAAAGUGCAUCGUGAUGGGGAUCGAUUAUUGUAAUUAUUAAUCUUCAACGAGGAAUUCCUAGUAAGCAUGUGUCAUCAGCCCGUGCUGAUUACGUCCCUGCCCUUUGUACACACCGCCCGUCGCUCCUACCGAUUGAAUGUGUUGGUGAGGAGCUCGGAUUGGCAGCAGUUGGUGGUUCGCCACCGGCUAUUGCUGAGAAGUCCUCCAAACCGCCCCAUUUAGAGGAAGGAGAAGUCGUAACA